GCGGUAACAUGAGUGAUGAGGAGUGGCUGCAAAUACAGAUGAAGCUUCGUUUGCUCACUUCCUGUUGUGUGGCCCAGACAGGGCACUGUCUGUGGCCCCAGGGGUUGAGGACCCCUGGCUUUAACAACAGAAAGGUACCAUCUUACAGUUCUGGAGGCCAAAGUCUGAUAUCCAGACCCCAGUUACUGGAUUGGGAUCCACCCUCACUCAAUAUGGCCUCAGCUUAAUGAAAGACAUCUGCAGAGACCCUAUUUCUACUAAAAGCCACAUUCUGAGACUUCUCGUGGGCGUGAGUUUUUGAGAGACACUGUUCUGCUCCAUGCAGGGAGGGAAUUGGGAUCUGAAGACGUUGCAUUCGAGGUCUCGGGGCUCCUGAUGAGCAGCCUCGGCCUGACCUGGGGCAGGUGUGAUGUCUGCGGCUCACCAUCUCCACCCUGCCUGCUGUGGAAUCUCCACAACGACAGGUGCUUUGGAGGCCAGAGUGCAUGCGUACGGGCCCUGCACACGCUGAAUGUCACUGGGAACAAGGACACACCCCGCUUCCAGGAGAAGAUAGAACAUGUCGACCCCUUUUGCUCUCGUUCUGUUGCCCAGGCUGGAGUUCAGUGGCAUGAUCUUGGCUCACUGCAGCCUCGAACUCACAGGCUUAGGUGAUCCUCCCACCUCAGCCUCCUCAGUAGCUGGGACUACAGAGCCAUCCCCAGUGCAGGACAUGCUAUUGACUUCCAUGAGACAAACACCUACUUGGAAAUCAGGUUUUUUCUGUACCUUUUGAAGGAGCAGGAAUUUCCCAGCAUUUCCUGGACAAAGACGGAGGCUCCUGGGGCCUACAGAAAGGAGCUGGAGGUGCCUAGUGCAGGCUGGGAGGCCUCCUUUAUUGAGGUGACAUCCCUGGAUGCUGGCUUGGCGGAGGUUGGGGAGAACGCUGCCUCCCUGGAAUAGAAGAUGCCUUGGAAGCCCUGGGUGCAGGCUGGCCGACCCUGCCUGAGCUGCCUGUCUUCAUUCCAUGGCUCUGCUUGUUAGAGGAGGAAGUUAGGCAGACAUGAGUGGCGCCCACCAGCCCAGGAAUGUCAGGUGACCAUCAGGUGAUGGUCAGGCAGUUGUUAAACUGUCUCUCUGAAAUGAUCAUUGGUUGCAGCUCACACCAGGGGAAGAUGGUCUCCCAAUAAAUAAAAAAACACCUGAAACUGGUGAUCAGCAGCUUCCCGAUAAGCUCUCGAGUUGGGCGAGUGGGCUCAAGCGUGCGCACUAAGAGGCAAAAUGGCGGAUGUAUGAACUUCCUCUGGGGGCAUUCAACCAGUAAAGGAAAACCGCCCCUAGAGAGCAUGCGCACAACCUCAGUCAACUCACUACACAUGCAAUUACCCUCCUGAGUGCUGACCAACACUGCUGCAUGGGGCUGUUGAGCAACAGCCCGCCCCAAGGGAAGAACCGAGGGAGGAGAAGAGAAAACUCCAGAGCCGUGCCAACGGAUAAACCCCACGCCCAGGGCUGAGCGGUCACUUGGAUCUCUCACGUGGCGCACUCAGCCCUCUUCCAAGUAUACUUUAACUUCCUUUCACUCCUGCUCUAAAACUUUUUCAUAAACCCUCACUCCUGUUCUAAAACGUGCCUCAAUCUCUCCCUCUACCUUAAACCUACUUCUGCUCCAGAUUCUUUCCACUGAGGAGGCAAGGAUGGAGUUGCUGCUGACCCGUGCAGAUUUGCUGCUGGUAACAUACUCAUGGGCAAAGUCUGAAAAACCUCUUCCUGCCCUGGGCAAGGCAGAUGGGGCAGCCCAGCAGGCUGGCUUUGCCCACCGUCUCCGAUAUCAUCCAACACAGUCAGCCAGGCCACAUUCGCUGCAUCCUUUCCAGCAAGAUGUCAUUCUGAGAUUUUUGUCAUUCCUGGGCGUUAUGAGGACUGCCAAGGGACACAAUUCCAUGGGAGGAAAGUUUUCUUCUAAGCUGCAAGCCAGCUCUGGCUUCUGGAGUUUCUCCUUAGGAUUGCAAGACAGUAGUUCCCUGUCCUUUAGGUCUUCUCCAGAAAUACCUUAAAAUAGCAAAUAAAAUAAGAUAUAAGCAAACAAAACCUGAAGUUAAC
RNAcentral lists this long non-coding RNA (2082 nucleotides) under Homo sapiens (human). RNAcentral's name for it is "HSALNT0245865". The record is from RNAcentral. Lineage: Eukaryota; Metazoa; Chordata; Mammalia; Primates; Hominidae.